Molecule: non-coding RNA, 561 nt
Filed under: Pongo abelii (Sumatran orangutan)
Lineage: Eukaryota; Metazoa; Chordata; Mammalia; Primates; Hominidae
Source: RNAcentral
CCGCGGUAUAAGGUCGUCCCAUCCUGAAUGGCCGGUGCGCAGACUCAAUUGCGACUUUGAGGCUGUCAGCCGCCACCCGGCAACCUUCCAGUGAACAGGAUUCUGGGUUUCUCAAAGCUGUAAUUGGAGGGCCACUCCAGAGGUGUUAAAGCUCCCUCACUUCCAGCCUGCCUCGUGGGAAGGUCUUAGGCUAAGUCUGUAGGUGCCUGCAGUUAAGAAGCCAGCGGUCUGCAUAUGAUUGCUCAGAGGUGGUGGCUGGGUACCAACAGCAUUCACUACAGGCCUGCCUUGAAUACCACCUAACUCAGUGCUCCGCAUAUCACAGGGGCUGGAAACCUAACAAUUUCACUUCCUAGACAACUUGCUAAAAGUCACCUAAAGACAGUCUGGUUACUGCCAAAGAUAUGCUUUCAAAUAAGAUUUGGAUAAAGAAGGGAGGUAGAUGCCUUUUUUCAGCAGUGGAGUGAUGUCUAGACCAGUAGACAUAUGCAUCUAAGUGAACUCAUCACCAGCAACAAUUUCCUGAAACUUCCUGACCUCCAGAUUGCAGCUUCAUUAGUG